This 74-nucleotide transfer RNA is filed under the name Bradyrhizobium sp. C-145. Its description in RNAcentral is "tRNA-Arg". The record is from RNAcentral. Lineage: Bacteria; Pseudomonadati; Pseudomonadota; Alphaproteobacteria; Hyphomicrobiales; Nitrobacteraceae.
GCAUCUGCACCAGCGGUGCGAUGGCUGCCCUCCGAAGGCAAAGGUCACACGUUCGAAUCGUGUCGGGUGCGCCA